Molecule: ribosomal RNA, 171 nt
Filed under: Salmonella enterica
Lineage: Bacteria; Pseudomonadati; Pseudomonadota; Gammaproteobacteria; Enterobacterales; Enterobacteriaceae
Description: partial 16S ribosomal RNA
Rfam family: Bacterial small subunit ribosomal RNA
Source: RNAcentral
CCCGGGCCUUGUACACACCGCCCGUCACACCAUGGGAGUGGGUUGCAAAAGAAGUAGGUAGCUUAACCUUCGGGAGGGCGCUUACCACUUUGUGAUUCAUGACUGGGGUGAAGUCGUAACAAGGUAACCGUAGGGGAACCUGCGGUUGGAUCACCUCCUUACCUGAAAGAA